Dipodomys spectabilis (banner-tailed kangaroo rat) is the source of this 402-nucleotide non-coding RNA. The record is from the annotation of a RefSeq genome assembly. Lineage: Eukaryota; Metazoa; Chordata; Mammalia; Rodentia; Heteromyidae.
AUGAGGCUCUGUUCGUGGGCUGCUCUGGGACUCCUAAUGCUCUGGAUCACUGGGUCCAGUGGCGAUAUUAUAAUGACUCAGACUCCACUCUCCCUGCCUGUCACUCUGGAAGAGAAGGUCUCCCUCUCCUGCAGGUCUAGUGAGAACCUGACAGAUAGUGAUGGAGAUAGUGCUCUAUCUUGGUACUUGCAAAAGCCUGGCCAGUCUCCCAAACUCCUAAUCUAUUGGGCUUCCGACCUAGCAUCUGGAGUCCCAGACAGAUUCAGUGGCAGUGGGUCAGGCACAGAUUUCACACUGCAAAUCAGCAGGGUGGAGGCUGAGGAUAUUGGGGUUUAUUACUGCAUUCAAGGUACAGAUACUCCUCCCACAGUGAUACAGUCCCUAACAAAAUCAUCUCUGUAG